GCAAAGCUCAUUUGGUAGAGCACAAGCCUUGAACGCUUGCUGUUGCGGGUUCAAACCCCGCUGCA
Molecule: transfer RNA, 65 nt
Filed under: Candidatus Cloacimonadota bacterium
Lineage: Bacteria; Pseudomonadati; Candidatus Cloacimonadota
Description: tRNA-Ser
Rfam family: tRNA
About the family: Transfer RNA (tRNA) molecules are approximately 80 nucleotides in length.
Source: RNAcentral